Molecule: long non-coding RNA, 268 nt
Filed under: Vitis vinifera (wine grape)
Lineage: Eukaryota; Viridiplantae; Streptophyta; Magnoliopsida; Vitales; Vitaceae
Description: long non-coding RNA (VVIN_LNC003574)
Source: RNAcentral
GGCUAUACUCAAAUCCAUCAUAUUACUCCUAUCUAUUGUGAUGUAUCUCAUUUAUGAGACACAACAACUAAAAAUUUUCAUAGCAAAGGGCUUAUAUGUACAAAAAGGUACAAGGAAGAGUGGUGAUGUUCUACGAUCUUGUAGGUAGAUGACAACCUGCUCAUUGGAUAUGAUGUGGAGAUAUUGUCAUCAGUCAAGAUCUAGUAGUCUACUCAAUGCUAAAUAAAAAUCUAAAGGAAUACGUAAUAUAUUCUUAGGGUUAAGGUCC